AAGAAGCGCGAUGGAGGGGGAUAACUACUGGAAACGGUAGCUAAUACCGCAUAACGUCGCAAGACCAAAGAGGGGGACCUUCGGGCCUCUUGCCAUCGGAUGUGCCCAGAUGGGAUUAGCUAGUAGGUGGGGUAACGGCUCACCUAGGCGACGAUCCCUAGCUGGUCUGAGAGGAUGACCAGCCACACUGGAACUGAGACACGGUCCAG
This 209-nucleotide ribosomal RNA is filed under the name uncultured bacterium. Its description in RNAcentral is "partial 16S ribosomal RNA". It matches the Rfam family "Bacterial small subunit ribosomal RNA", at positions 123 to 334 of the family's 1533-position model. The record is from RNAcentral.